UAGCAUCUCUUCCUAAUGGUGGUUUUCAAAAUGUUCUGCACUCUCUGGAUAAAAUGCUUUGGAGUACUCACUAUCAAUUCAUCUUAGCUCAUGGAAACAGAAGUAAUCUAAAGCACAGCUGCUCAGGAUGCACACUGACUCAACUCGCUCCCCAGCAAUCUAGGAAGUCCCUCUACCUGGGAGAAGGCAGCCAUCUGCAAGUCGGGAAGAAAGCCAUCACUGGGGAACCAAAUCAGCCCUGCACUUUGAUCCUGGACUUGCCAGCCUCCAGAACUGUGAGAAAUAAAUUCUUGCUGUUU
This is a long non-coding RNA of Sapajus apella (tufted capuchin), 299 nucleotides long. RefSeq lists it as uncharacterized. The transcript has 3 exons. The record is from RefSeq and is a predicted model, not a curated record. Lineage: Eukaryota; Metazoa; Chordata; Mammalia; Primates; Cebidae.